UACGUAGGGCGCAAGCGUUGUCCGGAAUUAUUGGGCGUAAAGAGCUCGUAGGCGGCCUGUUGCGUCCGCUGUGAAAUCCCGGGGCUUAACCCCGGGCUUGCAGUGGAUACGGGCAGGCUGGAGGCAGGCAGGGGAGAACGGAAUUCCCGGUGUAGCGGUGAAAUGCGCAGAUAUCGGGAGGAACACCGGUGGCGAAGGCGGUUCUCUGGCCUGUAACUGACGCUGAGGCGCGAAAGCUAGGGGAGCAAACGGG
Molecule: ribosomal RNA, 253 nt
Filed under: uncultured bacterium
Lineage: Bacteria
Description: partial 16S ribosomal RNA
Rfam family: Bacterial small subunit ribosomal RNA
Source: RNAcentral